UCUCCGUCGUGCCUGUGCCACCUCCCCCGCCCGCCCGAGACCCGCCAAGUUUCCCUUCCUUACACGGCGAGGUCCACCAUCGUCGCCCCUUCCCUGGCGAGCCACAGCCGUCCACGUUCCUGGCCACCGGCGACCUCCCUUCUCUAGCCCUUGGCGGCGAGCCAACACCUCCUCCCCAUGGCUGCCCCCCCAGACCCCAGUCCCGUCUGCGCAUCCGCUCCCCCGUCAGCGACACACCUAUUCUCCCCGACGUCGCCCAUGGCGUGGACGGCGAGCUCCCUCACCCUGCAACUCUGCACGUGUAAGGGCCAUGUUGCCCGCCUCCUUUCCCCACGCCGGCGCUGCCCCCUGUCGCCGCGGCCCCUUCCCCAAACAGCACGGCACCAUGUGCUCCCCUUGCCGCGCCCGCACUCUCCUUCCCCAAACAGCACGACCCCACAUCGCUAGUUGCCUCGCCUCGCCGGGGACCCAGCACGACGGUCAGGGAGUUGGUGGGUGGUGGAGACAGGGAGGAGCGGAGGAGGAGGUCAAGCUCAACAAGGACAUUGUGUUCGUGACGCUGCCUUCCCCACCGACACCGAUGACUCACUCCACAACCCAGAUCUGGGGCCCUUCCUCCUCAAGCCAUGGUAUUGGGCGAGGGUGGCGCCGCGUCGCGUGCUUGAGUUCGCCGAGCGCGCCGCCAGGGUGCUCGAGCGAAGAGGUGAGGGCACCGAGCUCGAGCUCGCCAUGAAUCUCCACAUCGUUACUGGCAUCCACUGCGGACUCAACCACCAAGCCCGCCCUCCCUCGUCGAGACAUUGCUGUCACCCUGCGCGCCUGCCCAUCCCCGCAUCACACCCGGGAGGCACACAGCGCCAAGGAUCCCCACCCUCCUCCCCACGCCGAUCUGUCCCUUCCUCCUCUCCGUCCGCUGUGCGCGCCGCGUCACUCUCGCCCUCGCCCCGUCUGUCUCGCUGUGUCCGCUCUCCGUCCACCUUCGCCCCGUGUCCGCUCCAUCCAUGGCAGAACCGCAAGCCAUGCCUAGCCGCGUCCGCUCUCCGUCUGCGUGCAGAUCCACGCGCAUAACCGCCCAACUUCGCCCCGCUUCCGCGCCAUCCAUGGUAGCCACCUCGGAUCAGGGCGCCCCAGCCUCCAUGGAAGCCCUCAGCGCGCAGAACCUUCCAACUGCGCCCCACGUCCGCGCCGUCCAUGGAAGCCGCCCCUGAUCUAUGCGCCCCACCUUGCAACUGCGCGCAGAUCCCUCCAUGGAAGCCGCGCUAACCUUGACCCAACUGCGCCUACACUCCGUACAUGGAAGUCGUCGCUAACCUCGACCCAACUGCCAAAUACGGUGUCUCCCACCCGGAUCUGCGCGCCCCAAAUUAUGGUACAGCGUAGACAAAGGCUAACCUUCCAUUGGCAGCGCGUAGAUCAUCCGAGGUGGACCUAUAAGAUGUCAAGUGUGUACGCCCCAACAACCCACAGAUGCGGCUCGACACUCUCCAUCGUCUGGUAUACCAGGGGGAAAACAUGGCUGCUAUCAUUGGCUAGAACUGAAGAGACCAUACACCAUACAGGAGAAAUGCUAAACAAUAUUUGAAGAUAAUAGUUGGGACUCAUGACUCAUCCAUUGAUGUGUUGCACUAAAAAAGAUGGGGAUGGCGUUCAACAGCCUAGAGAUUAAGAUGAUGCAAGCUUGGCACAAAUGAUGGGUCGUGAACCAGGAGAUAAUUUCCAAGACUUGAUAAAAGAGUAUGGCGUGUACUGAAGGGUCCAUUCAACUACACGACUCGUGAUGAAGUUGGUAUACCCCGAGAAUGGUAACUUCUGACCAGCAUGGCAUAAGUCUGUUUCUAUAUCGACGGUAUCACUUCUCGGACAGAAUUGCGGCCUCGAUCCGCGCUCUCCAGGUUCCCCCAGAUUGACGCGUCCGCGCCGCGCUUGCCCAGAUCGAUGGAAUCUGCGGUCUCCAGAUGCGAGUCCGGGGCUCGCUAUCUGUGGAAGGCGAGGAGAGACGAAGUGACCUCGUCCAUGCCUCCACCGUUGGACGAGAAUAUCUUCUCCGAUCUCACCCUCUUCGCUCCACCGCAGGAGCCGCUCUCGCUAGAGAAGAAGUUGUGCCUCGUCAUGGGCCUCCACGACGGAUCAACCAAGUUCCAAGAAGAACGCCAAGGGGAACAAACCUAGAAAAGAAAGAAACAUAAUUUUUGAAGCUUUCAGAACGCCUAGAGAAGCUAUUGAAGGAGAAAAUAUGAGAACAACGAAUACCAAGUUAAGGUAGAGCUGGUCACAAAUUGGAAGAGGAGCUGAAGGAUCCAUCUUGGCAUCCUUUUAAGAUGAUUCAGGCUAUCAGAUAAGAUCGAGAUACUGAAAAUCAACUUUCAUGAGAGGAAGAAGAACGCUUGGGAAGAUUCAAGCUCAGAUGACAUUUCUGGUGUUAUCACACGCUUUGAUGGUGUUGACCUUCAGGUUUAUGAAACCCUCACUCAGUCACUCUCUAUUAUCUCUAUAUAUGAAACAGACAAUUUGGUGCUCAGUCCCAGUGAUGGUUAGGCUUCCUGUGCAUGUCCAAUGAUAAGGCAGUGUCCAGUAGUUUCACUGUUGACUACACUAUUUAUAGAGUGAAAGUUUGAAUAUGAGUAUGGUGAUGUGUAAGCUACUGUAGAUAGCCUAAUAAUUGAUUUCUUGGUUGCUCACAUAGCAUUAUUAAAGAACAUUUCAAGAUGUAAAAUCAUGCCUAUGGAAAGAUAGGUUUUAAGAGCAAGAUGUUGAGGAUGCGGAGACCUUGGACGAAUACCCUUCCAGAUUUGGAGUGUAAGCAAGUUUAGUUCAUGCGCUGAUGCUGCAAUUAUUGGUCCGGUGACACCUCCCUUACUAGAACUUUAGGUGACUUUAUCAUAUCAUGAUUCUCUUAAAAGCUACCUUGUUAGAACUCAUCAGUAUUCGAUUGUUGUUAGAUAUAACUAUUGAAUAAACUUAUUAUUAUGCCUUGACCAUUUGGUUUUAUCAUACUCUUAAAAGCUACCUUUAGUGGAUGUUUUUUGAAGCCACAAUUAUAUUGAAUUCAUCUGUUUCUAUAUUGUUUGGCAGUCAAGUCAAUGCCACAAUUAUGAGAUAUUGAAAUCGAUGGUAAUAUAUGUUUUUAUCGACUAAUUUAUGUGUCUAACCGCACGCACCACUUCUACGGUCGGCCUUAUGGCUUCUCCAUUGGGAAGAAUGUGUGCCUUCAAAGGAAGGUGAACUUAAGAGUAAAAGCAGCUAAUGAGUUAUAGUUUAACAAGGAUAGCUCAGCUAUCAAAAAGCUCCAGGUGAGCUCCACAUUUUUUUUAUUUAUGAUGAUACAAUGAUGUGUUGUUGACCCUCAACCAGUCGCUAAUCGUUUCUUUUUCCCUACAUUUUAGACUGGAGUCAAUAAGCUUGUUACUGCAGUUAUAGGGUGAUUAGUUUCACGUCUGCUACUUCCUAACUGGUGCAUAGAUAAUUUAACGCCGCUUGUGCGGCAACCUCCAUCUAUAUGUGACCUGCAAAAGAUAAAUCCUUAAAUAGUAGGUCAAUUGCGAAGAUUUGUUAGUGAUGAUCCGAUGAUCAAGAACCGGAGCACCUUCAAGGUACAGUUUCCUUUAUUUGCUAAACUGUGUUAAUUGUUUUGUUUUAUAAAAAUAGUGUAGUCAUGGCAUAUGUAUGCAUGCGUUGUAUUAGGAAACCAUGACUACGAAACAAUUAUGGUUAAGUCCAUAUAACUUUUCUAUGUGCUUGUUAUCUGUUUUCUUAUAGUGAUCUUCUAAACUUUUUGUCGAACUUUACUGUAGAGAAAAUAGAACUUCGAUGUAAGUUACAAAUAGGUGAACUAGACAAACCAUUCUGCUGUAGUUGACAAUCAUGAUAUUUGAAAAACGAGCUCACAACUAUAUUUCACACAAUUGAUGCUCCAAAUUAUUUUUCUGUAAUUGAAACCUAAUGUAGGAAUGUGUAGGAUAUUUGCUUUGCCUAUUAGAGAAAGAUUUGAUAGGAUGUUUGCUUUGCUUGGUUGGGAAAUAUUUGAUAGGAUGUUUGCUUUAACUGAUAGGAAAAUACCAACAUUCUCAUCUUCUUAUGGCCCUGUGCUUUUACUUUAUGUGCUAUCUAAAUAUAGAGUACAAUGUAAAGCUAUUUUUGCAGAUUGGAACUGCAGGGUGGUCGGGUUCUCAGAUGUAAGCUGCACAACAUUAUGCUAUUCUCCCCAUCGAUAUUGCACACUUUAACUUGUUACCAUAUUUAGUUCUUUUGUAUGCCUUUAUAGUGGCUUGUUAAUUUACACUGCUGGUUCCUGCAACCUUUUACAAAUUGGUAAAAAAUGAAAAUUGACAGAGGAAAAUUUGUGCUGAAGCUUUAUUCGUUCUUUGGUUAAGUGAUUAAUGAAUGAAAACAAAUUUGUAAAUAGUAAUAAGGUUUUUGUUCUAUCAAACACAAUCAAGAUUUGUUAGCUUGCUUGCUGCUGCUUAGAUCAAUAUUGGUUUCUCACAUCAACUAUGCUAAUGUUGAGGUGAUAAUCAGUCCUUCACUAGCAUAAGGAUGUAUAUACAGACUAAUUUUUGUCUCCGUUGCAUGGCAUUUGUGUUGUUGUAUACCGCUCAAGUACUGCUUAUGAGAUUGCUUGAACUUUAUCCUGGAACCUCAAGGGUUGUCGUUGGCCAAAGCUACAUCUAUCUUUCUUUCAGUGUUUUGCUGGAACUGAUAACGUUUUGAGUCUGCAGAAGAAUGAAUCAUAGAAAGUUAAUGUGUGCAUCCAUGGUUGUGGUCUUGACACGGCGGAGCGGACCUCGCUCGGGAAGCUGCUGCAGCCGGUAGACUAUUGAUUGGAACUUUUAGGUACAUAAGUUCUCCACAUGUAGAUGAGUGUUAUCGUCAUAGAUAUGGGGUCAAUCCCUGUUUUGUUCCCAUGGUUGAAAGUGAUGGUCUUCAUUUUGUUGGUUGUGACAAAAGUCAAAACCGGAUGGAGGUACUAAGCAAACAACAUAUGUUAUUCUUGGGUUUUGAAUUUCUUUUCCAAAAGAACCUGCUUGCACAUAUUAGCUGAUUGUGGAGCUACAAGAUCCCUUUUAUGUACGUGUUUAGUUGUGGAGCAGAUUGUGGAGCAGAUUGCGGGUUUUGAAUUUCUUUUCCAAAUGUCGUCUUCGCGCCCACCGCGGAGGGGUGGUGACCGAAGAGAUAGUGGCAGAGGCGUCCCUUGUGGGCUCUGCUCCUAUCUCGCGGUAUGAAGCCUUUAACUUAUGAGAUGAGAUAGGAGUCUGUGUUCUUAUCCCAGUAUAAGGUCUACAAUGGCACAAUGCUUGUACCAUCUGUUUUUGGGGUAACUUAUUUUUAUCAUGCAGUGCAUGUGACUUGAAACUUUGUGUUAGCCUUUAUUGCUUUCUACCUUAUGGCACCUGUAGUAGUGAACUGAUGAUAUUCUUGUGGACUCUGAAGCUUUGUUUGCCCAGAA
Zea mays is the source of this 5443-nucleotide long non-coding RNA. RefSeq lists it as uncharacterized. The record is from RefSeq and is a predicted model, not a curated record. Lineage: Eukaryota; Viridiplantae; Streptophyta; Magnoliopsida; Poales; Poaceae. The transcript has 8 exons.